Molecule: long non-coding RNA, 206 nt
Filed under: Olea europaea (common olive)
Lineage: Eukaryota; Viridiplantae; Streptophyta; Magnoliopsida; Lamiales; Oleaceae
Description: long non-coding RNA (OEUR_LNC005958)
Source: RNAcentral
AAAAUUCCUGAUAGGGCUGGGGCGGGGCCACUUUGAGAUAAAAUUUAUUUUGGAAUAGUGAUUUUGGAAAAAUGUAUCUUAAAAGAUAAUAACAAAUUUUGAAUUUAUGUAUUAUAUUAGAGUAAUGUUAUUUGCAGUCGCUCACUGCGGUAGUCGCCCUACGUGGUAUACACAUGGCAGGUGAUUAUUUGAUGUAUUAAUAUGGU